GUUUGUCAUGAUCAGGUCCGC
Molecule: non-coding RNA, 21 nt
Filed under: Arabidopsis thaliana (thale cress)
Lineage: Eukaryota; Viridiplantae; Streptophyta; Magnoliopsida; Brassicales; Brassicaceae
Source: RNAcentral